This 251-nucleotide ribosomal RNA is filed under the name uncultured prokaryote. RNAcentral's name for it is "partial 16S ribosomal RNA". It matches the Rfam family "Bacterial small subunit ribosomal RNA", at positions 525 to 775 of the family's 1533-position model. The record is from RNAcentral.
ACGGAGGGUGCGAGCGUUAAUCGGAAUUACUGGGCGUAAAGCGUACGCAGGCGGUUUGCUAAGACAGAUGUGAAAUCCCCGGGCUUAACCUGGGAACUGCGCUUCGAACUGGCAGGCUAGAGUGCGGUAGAGGGGGGUGGAAUUUCACGUGUAGCAGUGAAAUGCGUAGAGAUGUGGAGGAACACCGAUGGCGAAGGCAGCCCCCUGGGUCGAUACUGACGCUCAUGCACAAAAGCGUGGGGAGCAAACGG